UUUGCGUAGGUGAACCUGCGGAAGGAUCAUUAUUGUAUAACCGAGGUGCGAGGGCUGUCGCUGACCCGAAAGGUCGUGCACGCCCGAGUGCCCUCACACACAUCCAUCUCACCCCUAUGUGCACCACCGCGUGGGUCCCCCUUUGGCUUGUUCGGAGGGGGGCUUACGUUUUCACACAAACUUUGUAUGCAGUGUAGAAUGUAUUUUUUGUUUUUGCGAUCACGCAAUCAAUACAACUUUCAACAACGGAUCUCUUGGCUCUC
This 263-nucleotide unclassified non-coding RNA is filed under the name plant metagenome. Its description in RNAcentral is "partial contains small subunit ribosomal RNA, internal transcribed spacer 1, and 5.8S ribosomal RNA". The record is from RNAcentral.